UGGUGAGUAAGUCUUGCCCGAAAGGAUGAGGCCUGUGGAGACAGGAUGGGAGCGAGUAGGGCAAGGUUCACCA
Molecule: non-coding RNA, 73 nt
Filed under: unclassified sequences
Description: DUF3800-X RNA
Rfam family: DUF3800-X RNA
Source: Rfam by way of RNAcentral